AACGGCCAUACCAUGUUGAAUACACCGGUUCUCGUCCGAUCACCGAAGUUAAGCUACAUUGGACGUGGUUAGUACUUGGAUGGGUGACCGCUUGGAAACACCACGUGCCGUU
Molecule: ribosomal RNA, 112 nt
Filed under: Stolotermes inopinus
Lineage: Eukaryota; Metazoa; Arthropoda; Insecta; Blattodea; Termopsidae
Source: RNAcentral